RNAcentral lists this ribosomal RNA (222 nucleotides) under uncultured bacterium. RNAcentral describes it as "partial 16S ribosomal RNA". It matches the Rfam family "Bacterial small subunit ribosomal RNA", at positions 109 to 334 of the family's 1533-position model. The record is from RNAcentral.
AGUAAUGCUUGGGAAUCUAGCUUAUGGAGGGGGAGAACUACGGGAAACUGUAGCUAAUACCGCGUAGAAUCGAGAGAUGAAAGUGUGGGACCUUCGGGCCACAUGCCAUAGGAUGAGCCCAAGUGGGAUUAGGUAGUUGGUGAGGUAAAGGCUCACCAAGCCGACGAUCUCUAGCUGGUCUGAGAGGAUGACCAGCCACACUGGGACUGAGACACGGCCCAG